AUGACAAGCUUAUCAUGCAUGCAUUAUAGAUUGACAACAUAUCAGAGGAAGAAGGAAAAGGAAACCAAACAGGAAGAAGGAAAAGGAAACCAAACAGGAAGAAUCAAACCCUGCUUUAUCUUUACCAAAAGGACAUGCUUUCUUAUGCCGCAGCAACAAGCAAAGAAGCUGCCUUCGCCCCUCUUCACUACCUUUUCUUGUGAGGAUGGAACUGGGAUAGCGGGAACCAGAGGCCUAAGCAAAGAAUCUUGUCCAGUUCUCUUCUUCUUCUUCAAUGAAAUGAGCUUCGGGUUAGUCGCAGCUUCUCCCAGCUCUUUAUAUCCCAUCCUCGAGAUCCUCCAUUUGUCAGACACACGGGUUCCAAGGAUGCGAACCAAACACGCUCUUGUCCCAUUCGAGAGCACAGGCCCCGUGCGUCCUCCUCAUCUCUCCAGAACUGCUGGUGGCGUCAUCUUUCUGUGCCUCCUGUACUGCCUGAGGAUGGACACCGCCAUCGGCGCAACGAAGUGGGUGCUGGGCAAGGCGCUGGCCCCCGUCACGGAUGGCUUGCUGCAGUCCUGGGCAGCUAGUGUUGAGCUUGAUCGCAACAUCGACGCCCUCAAGAUGGAGCUGUUGUAUGCGCAUGGGAUGCUUGAGAAUGUGCACGGCAGGGACAUCCAUGGCAUUGCGCUGAAGGAGCUCCUGCUCAAGCUGCAGCAGCUGGCAUACGGGGCUGAUGAUGUACUGGAUGAGCUGGAGUACUUCCGCAUCCAGGACGCCCUUAAAGGAACCUACCAUGCCACUGACAUGAAUGCUGUGGGUUUCAUCCAGGGCCUCCGCGUCAAUGUUGAACACACGGCGAGGCAUGUUGCCAACAAACUUAAGUGCCUCCCGUGCUUGGGUGCUGCUAGCCAUGAUGGUGACCAAGAAAGUGAUGCUGGUGUUCACCAAGAAAAUUAUGGCAAGCAAGCAUGCCUCUCUGGUGUACGCUUGUGUGGCAGGCAGAGGAUCGGCUCCUCGCCACCGAUGCCCGCCAACAAGGGUGUCAAGAAUGUUGAUGGCAAAUGCAUGCCCAAGGUCAUCUCAACUGCUCGCAAUGCUGCCCACACUUUCGGUAAACACUUUCCAUGCUACUCUCCCAUAUCUGUCCAUGAUGAUGAUCCUCAACCUAUCAUUUCAAAGUGUGCAAGCCAGAGAGACUGUGAUAUAGAAACACCAGAAUUGAUGUUUGAUAGGGUGCAAAUGUCUAAAACAAUGAUGGACAUGGUAGAGCAGCUGAAGGAAGUAUGUGCUAAGGUCUCCAUAAUUCUUAAUCUAGAUUUGUUGGGCUCCAGCCGUAUGCAUACCAAAGAUAUUGCUAAAAACAGAUCCAAGACCACAUCCGAGAUUAUAGAACCUGAGUUAUACGGGAGGGAUGACCAAAAAAAGAAAAUUGUAGAUUGCAUUAUUAGUCGCGAGUACUGUCCCAAUAAACUUAACGUGCUUCCAAUUUUUGGACCUGGGGGUAUUGGAAAAACAACUUUUACGCAACACAUAUGCCAAGAAGUAAAUAGAUAUUUCCAGGCUUCAAUUUGGAUAUGUGUCUCUUUCGAUUUCAGUGCAGAUUGGUUGGCGCAAGAGAUGGUCAAAAAAAUCGAUAGUGUUGUUGGUGAAAAGGCUAACGCUAGUGCCGACGAACUUAUCCAGCAAAGAUUAAAAGCUAAGAGAUUCUUACUUGUCUUGGAUGAUGUGUGGACAUAUCAGGAGGAUGAGUGGAAAAAACUAAUAGCACCUUUAAAGAAGGUAGAGUCUGAGGGUAAUUUGAUUAUAGUCACAACCCGAAUACCAAAGGUAGCAGAAAUGGUUAAGACAACCAAUGGUGAACUAAAACUGGAAAGACUAGAUGAUGCAGACACCAUGCGUUUUUUCGAAACAUGUAUAUUUGGUAACAAGCAACAACCAUGGGAAGAACAUCCUGAAUUAUCUGAGAUUGGUCACAAAGUAGUGGACCAUUUGAAAGGUUCCCCUCUUGCAACUAAAACUGUAGGUAGGUUACUAAGAAACCAACUUACUUUGGACCAUUGGAAAAGAGUUCUAGAAAGCAAAGAGUGGGAACUACAAACGAGUGAGAGUGACAUCAUGCCAGCCCUCAAACUUAGCUAUGAUUUUCUCCCUUUCCAUCUAAAACAAUUGUUUGUAUAUUGUGCUUUGUUUCCAGAAGAUUACGAAUUUGAUAGCAAGGAGUUAGUUCAACUGUGGAUAGGACUAGGUAUUUUGCACCCAUAUGAUCAAAAUAAAAGGACUGAAGAUGUUGGACUAGACCAUUUGAAUGAGUUGGUCAAUUACGGGUUUUUGAAGAAAGACAAAAAAAAAGAUGGUCGUCAUUAUUAUGUUAUUCAUGAUCUAUUGCAUGAAUUGGCCACCAAGGUUUCAUCGUAUGAAUGCGUUAGUAUAUCUAGUUCUAAUAUCAGGUCCAUACACAUCUCCUCGUAUAUACGUCAUUUAUCCAUAAUUGUAGAUGCUAAAGAUGUUAAUGAUAGAAUCAGUUUUGACGACUAUAAAAAGGAUUUGAGUGCAUUAGGUAAACGACUGAAAGUUGAAAACCUACGUACUCUGAUGUUGUUUGGGAAAUACCAUGGAAGCUUCGCCAAGACCUUUUGUGAUCUGUUUAGAAAAGCUAAAGCCCUUCGCACUAUUUUUCUAUCUGGAGCAUCAUACUCUAUGAAGGACAUUCUGCAUAACUUUUCAAAAACUAUCCAUCUUCGUUACCUAAGGAUUGAGCCAUCACAUAACACAGGCAACAUCGACUUUCCUAGUAUGCUAUUCAGAUUUUAUCAUCUAGAGAUAAUAAAUCUUCAAAGAUGCAAUGUCCCUGUUUCGAUAAGACGUAUUACCAACCUUGUAAAGCUGCGUAAUAUGCCUCUAGUUCUGUCUGACAUACCUGAGGUGGGAAAACUUAAAUUGCUUUCAGAAUUAAGAAGAUUUGAAGUUGGAAAACAAACUAAUGGUUUCGAACUAAGUCAGCUAGCGCAAUUAACAGAGCUUGGAGGGUCACUUAGCAUUUAUAAUCUUGAAAAGGCGCAAGAAAAAGGGGCCCGGGGAAAGGAAAUAAGGCCAAUACACAGAAACCACUUGCGUGAACUAACAUUAGAGUGGGAUGUGCAACGAUCUAACACGGAUCCUACAAGAGAAGGAAAUGUUCUUGAAAAUCUUGUACCGCAUAGUGACCUUCGAGAUCUUUGCAUUAGAGGGCACGGAGGCACUAGUUGCCCAACAUGGCUAGGUGAGAACCUCUUGGUCAAAAAUUUGGAAUCGCUUCACUUGGCUGAUGUAUCUUGGAAAACUUUUCCACCAUUAGGAGAGUUCUGGUUGGUUGAUGAGCUCCGUGACGAGUGCAAGUGUUGCAUCUCAAACCCAAACUUCCAAAAAAAAUGUCUUGAAAAAAAAGGUUUUCCAAAUUUGAAAAAGCUAGUGUUUGUUAAGAUGCCAAAAUUGACAAAGUGGGCUGGAAAUCAAACUUGCGGGUUCUUCUUCCACCUGGAAGUGCUCAUUAUUGAAGACUGCCCUGAACUUAAGGAGUUGCCCUUUUCAUGUUCUACUUGCUCUCAACCAGCGCAAGAAGGAGCGAACCUGAGGACCUUGUUCCCUAGACUACGUGAGUUCACGGUUGUAGGAUGCCCAAACCUGAGGACAAUGCCUCCUAUCCCUUGGACCCGUACUCCAUGCUCUAUUAAGAUAGAACAAUCAGGGUCAAAUUUUCAGCUACGCACUAACUCAGAAGGAAUGUACAUACCAGGAUUAUGCUUGUCCAUUGUGGCAGCGGAUGGUGCAGAUAGCUUGCUUUGGAAUAAGUUGUCUUUCUGUUAUUUGAGUGGCCUAAAAGAGUUUUCUCUAUUCAAUUGCCCUCCUUUGCCCUUGCACAUGAUCCAAAUGCUAACAUCUCUGCAGCACCUCACUAUAAGUGGUUGUUCGAGUAUUGUUCUGUCGCCAAUCAGAGGCGAGAGCCAUGUCACAUAUGAGGUUCCAGUUGAAGAACUCUGCAUUUCUGACAGCGGGGCUAGCGGGAAAGAACUGACUCAACUGCUCUCUCAUUUACCCAAGCUCACCAGCCUGAGUAUAGCUGAUUGCGAAAAGAUAACAGAACUUGGUGUGUCUAAUCAGCAGAGUGGAUCACAGCAGCAAUACACAAACGAAGAGGAGGAAAUAGUGGCGACGGCAGAAGGAGGACUGCUGCUCUUGCCUACCCAACUACAGGAGUUAAAAGUCUACAAUUGCCGUGAGCUGAGAAUAGUCCCCAAUUCUGGUUCAGGGGGCGGCAACAACGAAGCAGCAGGAGGUCUCCAGCGUCUACGCUCCCUCCGCCAAGUGAUCGCAGAUGGUUGCCCCAAAUUGCUUUCCUCCUAUUCGGGCUCCUCGUCUUGUUUCCCUUUCCCGACCUCCCUUGAAACACUCGAACUAGUCAACGUUGAACAAGUCAAUUUGGACCUCACAAACCUAUCCGACCUGAAAGUACUCCAUCUUGGCCACAUGGAGGACCUCACAAAACUAAGCGUCAGCCGUUCCUCAAAACUACAUACCUUGAGCAUACGAGUUUUGGCAGAGUCCAUCUGCAGCCUGCUCUCUACCUCCCUCACCACAUUGUCCUUCUAUCUUAGCAAAGAGGUGGAGCCCAUCACAGGAGAGGCCCUAGUGCUUCUCACCUCCCUCCGAGAGCUCGGAUUUUAUUCCUGCCACAAAUUGCAGUUCCUCCCUGCAGGUCUACAUACACUUGACAGCAUCAAGCAAUUAUCUAUUCGUUCAUGCCCAUCCCUCUGGUCGCUGCCCAAGGACGGCCUCCCUAGUUCUUUGCAGAAAUUAGAUAUCUCCGGAUGUUCCAUGAAAUCAUUGCCCAAGGACAGCCUCCCGAGUUCUCUGCAGCAAUUAGAGAUCUCCCGUUGUUCUAAGCUCGAAUUGCUUCCCACUUUUUCGGACGGCCUCCCAACUUCUCUGUGGAAAUUAAAGAUUGAGGAUUGUCCUGCCAUCAAAUCGGUGCCCAAGGACGCCCUCCCGAGUUCUCUGCAGGAAUUAGGCAUCACGAGUUGUCCUGAAAUCAAAUCGCUUCCCGAGGACGGGCUCCCCAAAUCCUUGCGAGUACUAGAUGUGGUCAGUUACGGCAACAGCGAGCAGCUUAAAAGGCAGUGCCGCAGGUUAAUAGGGACGAUUCCAAUAAUCUUCGCCUGA
This 5178-nucleotide ribosomal RNA is filed under the name Triticum aestivum (bread wheat). RNAcentral's name for it is "partial small subunit ribosomal RNA". The record is from RNAcentral. Lineage: Eukaryota; Viridiplantae; Streptophyta; Magnoliopsida; Poales; Poaceae.